GAGAGCGGAUGUGGCCUGGUGGCUGUCCUGGUCUUCAAAACCAGUGGGCGUCGUGCGCAACGGCGCCGGUGGGUUCGACUCCCACACGCUCUCGCCA
RNAcentral lists this transfer RNA (97 nucleotides) under Chloroflexaceae bacterium. RNAcentral describes it as "tRNA-Sec". It matches the Rfam family "Selenocysteine transfer RNA". Lineage: Bacteria; Bacillati; Chloroflexota; Chloroflexia; Chloroflexales; Chloroflexaceae. The record is from RNAcentral.